This 265-nucleotide long non-coding RNA is filed under the name Ananas comosus (pineapple). RNAcentral describes it as "long non-coding RNA (ACOM_LNC012066)". Lineage: Eukaryota; Viridiplantae; Streptophyta; Magnoliopsida; Poales; Bromeliaceae. The record is from RNAcentral.
CUUUGUUCAUUAAUCUCAAGGCUAACCCGGGAGUUUCGCCACAUUAGCUUGCUUCACAUUAAGUCCAUCAUCGCGGGCCCUCAGCUUCCUCCCGCUAAGACCGUCCUUCGGGUUUACUCCAACCCGUGAUGCAAAAACUCCGGAGCACAUCGCCCGAGGGGGAGCGACCGCCCUCGAGCACGGAACUCAUAGCAAGUAUGAUCAAAUCCUUAACUCAAAGGAUUAUAUGUUCAAUCUUAACUUUACACUAACUCUAGUGUUCUUU